RNAcentral lists this non-coding RNA (87 nucleotides) under Pseudomonas reinekei. The record is from RNAcentral. Lineage: Bacteria; Pseudomonadati; Pseudomonadota; Gammaproteobacteria; Pseudomonadales; Pseudomonadaceae.
CGUUAUGGUGGCUGUGCGUGGGGCGCCCUCGGGCGCGCCGGUUUGCUAACUCCCCGGUCUGCUAACCCGCGCACAGCCGCCACCCAU